This is a non-coding RNA of Neogale vison (American mink), 393 nucleotides long. The record is from the annotation of a RefSeq genome assembly. Lineage: Eukaryota; Metazoa; Chordata; Mammalia; Carnivora; Mustelidae.
AUGGAGAAACUCCUGGAAGUGUCUUUGUUGAUACUUUGGCUUCAACUGCCCAGGGUGAACAGCCAACAGGAACAGCAUCAUCAGGUCCUGAGCUUCCAGGAGGGUGAAAAUGCCACCAUGAACUGCAGUUAUAAAACUUCGAUAAGCAACUUACAGUGGUAUAGACAAGACUCGGGUCAAGGCUUUGUCCAGCUGAUUUUAAUACGUUCAAAUGAAAGAGAGAAACACAGCGGAAGGCUACGGGUCAUCCUGGACACCUCCAUCAAAAGCAGUUCUUUGUCCAUCAUUGCUUCCCAGACUGCAGACUCUGCUACUUACAUCUGUGCCACAGGACACAGUGUUCACCAGGCACUUGCAGCCUCUGCACAAACUCUGCCCAAGCUGCCCCUUUGA